GACGAACGCUGGCGGCGUGCUUAACACAUGCAAGUCGAACGGAAAAGCCCUGCUUUUGUGGGGUGCUCGAGUGGCGAACGGGUGAGUAACACGUGAGUAACCUGCCCUUGACUUUGGGAUAACUUCAGGAAACUGGGGCUAAUACCGGAUAGGAGCUCCUGCUGCAUGGUGGGGGUUGGAAAGUUUCGGCGGUUGGGGAUGGACUCGCGGCUUAUCAGCUUGUUGGUGGGGUAGUGGCUUACCAAGGCUUUGACGGGUAGCCGGCCUGAGAGGGUGACCGGCCACAUUGGGACUGAGAUACGGCCCAGACUCCUACGGGAGGCAGCAGUGGGGAAUAUUGCACAAUGGGCGGAAGCCUGAUGCAGCAACGCCGCGUGCGGGAUGACGGCCUUCGGGCUGUAAACCGCUUUCGCCUGUGACGAAGCGUGAGUGACGGUAAUGGGUAAAGAAGCACCGGCUAACUACGUG
Molecule: ribosomal RNA, 468 nt
Filed under: uncultured bacterium
Lineage: Bacteria
Description: partial 16S ribosomal RNA
Rfam family: Bacterial small subunit ribosomal RNA
Source: RNAcentral